Molecule: long non-coding RNA, 2371 nt
Filed under: Piliocolobus tephrosceles (Ugandan red Colobus)
Lineage: Eukaryota; Metazoa; Chordata; Mammalia; Primates; Cercopithecidae
Description: lncRNA (ENSPTEG00000009526.1)
Source: RNAcentral
UUUUAUUAUUUAUUUGUUAUCUUUUAUUCUAUAUAAAUUAAAAUGGAUUAAAAAAAAAUUAUAUGAAAAAGAAAAGGAUAUUCACUGUAUGGUUCAAAAUAUUGAUGACAAAUACGUCAAAAAUUUAAAAACGGAUGAACAUAAUAAUAUACCAACAAUUAAUAAAAUGAAUAAUAAUAUGCAAAAUAAAGAUAAUUACGUGAUGCUUGAAUUUGCUAAUGGAAAAAAAGAGGAGGUGCAAAAUGAUGCAAGCGCACAGGUAGACGCAAAAGAAAAAAAAGAAGCAAAACCAAAAGAAGUGAAAAACUCACAAAAUAUACAAGAUAUUAAAAAAAAAAAAUUAUCUAUGUAUUGUUCCGAUAUAUUUUCCUUAUUUUUCGAAUUUGAUUCAUCUUUCGAUUCGUCUUUCGAUGAAAAUUAUAAACUACAUACAGAAGAUAUAAUAGAAAGUAUGAAAAAAACAAAAAGCAUGAUUCCUAUAAGUAUUAUAGAUUUUAUAAUUAAUUAUAAUUCUUCAUAUCAAAAAAACGAAGGACUAUUUAACACGCAUAAUUUUAACAAUGAUAAUAAAAAAUUACAAAACACAUUUACCCAACAAAUGGAUGAAAAUUUAUGUAUACAAAUAAAAAUCUCAGACUUAUUACAUUUCUAUAGUAAGGAAAAAUCUUAUAUAUUUAUUUUCAUCAGAUUGUUAGACAAUAAAAUUGUUUUAAGUAAACUCAAGUCCAUUAACUCAUAUAAUUUAGUCAUAGAGAAUUUUAUUUAUUUAAAACAUGUUGACGAAUUUUUAUAUUAUAAAAAAAACCAUUUGAAACAUACAUUUGAAAAUUCCCAAAAAAAGAAAUUUUUAUAUAUAAUUAUACAACAUGUCAACGAAAAAAAAGAUACUCAAUUUAUCGAUCCUGAAAUUAAGUUGGGUAUCACUAAUCAACAAAUAAUCAAUAAAAGCAACAAUUUUUUUACUAAUGAAAAAAAUACAACAAAAAAACCACAACAUAAUAAAAAAGUGUUUAUCAAAAGAAAUUAUAAAGAAUAUACACCUUCACACAAUGAAAACGUUAGUAAUAAUAACAUCUCAAAUAAAACAGCUUUAAAUAACUUUGUUACCACGCUGCUAAAAAAUAACAUUAAAAAUGUUACUAUACUAGAAAAACAAUCGAAUGUUCAUGUAAUAAAUGAUGAAAAAAAAAAUACAGAAAAAAAAGUAACUGAUAAUAAAUCAUUAAAAGAAAAUGGUUUUAUAUUUCAAAUGUUUCAAAAAAUGAAAACCAAAAUAUACGAUAAUGUUACAAAAGAUCAUGAGUUGAAUAAAAACCAUUCACCACAAAUGAAUUCCUCACAAAAUAACAACUUGAAGUUAUUGCUUAACAAUGAACCCAACAUUCUUAAUGAUAAACGAAUAAAACAAAAUUUAAGUUUUAAGCAGGAUAAUAAAAAUGUAAUUGUAUAUUCUAAAAACAAUCAAAAAACCAUGAACGACGAUAAAACAAAAAAUAAAAUUCACAAAGAAUUGGAAAAUAUGUUACAACAAAAAAAGCAUAAAAAUGCGACUGAUCUCAUUAUACAAUAUAAGCAAAACAUUGGAACAAAUCAAAUUAUUAAUCUAACAAAAAAUAUAACUAGCACAAAUUCUAAUAUAUAUAUUAAAAACAAUUUUAAUACUAUAAAAAAAAGCUCGAAUGUAAAAAAUAAUGUUAUUUUUAAAAAAAGCAAAAAACUGAAAUUAACUAAAAGCGUAAUUGUAAGUGCUGGUGUGCGCUUAAACAAAAAUACAAACCAUAUUAAUACAAUGUAUUAUGAUUUAAAAAAAAAAACAAAAAACACAAAACUAAAAAAAAAACAUAUCCACUAUCAAAAAAAAAAUGAAGGUAACUUAAAUAAGACAAAAAUAUAUACUAGCUUAGCUCGUUUGCGUAAUAAGAACAAUUUAAAUAAAAAUAAAAAUGCGAUAACUACAUUGCCCCAAAAUAAAAUCAAUGACAAAACAAAUGAUGUAUUUAUCAAUAAGACAAUUUUUAAUAAAAACAUUAAUAUGAAAGAAAACAAAAAACUUACAUAAUGCAAAAAAAUUAACUUUUCUACAUACACAUGAUUAAUUUUACAUGCAAUUAUUAUAACAGAAAAGAACAUUUCAAAAAUUAUAUAAAAAAUGUUUUUCAAGAAAUAUUGCUAAACUAAAAUUUUAUAAAAACUUAAAUGUCACAAACCAUUUUUACAAAAGAUGAAUAUACAUUACAUUUUAACUAUGUGAAAAAUAAUGCUACAACAAUACAAGGUCACAAAAACUAGAAAAAAAAACUAAAAGUGAUUUAGUUGUUACCAUAUAUACAAAAAAAAUAAAAAUAAAAUAAAGUAAUAGAUAAAAUUAUAU